RNAcentral lists this ribosomal RNA (45 nucleotides) under Alternaria sp. Its description in RNAcentral is "partial 28S ribosomal RNA". Lineage: Eukaryota; Fungi; Ascomycota; Dothideomycetes; Pleosporales; Pleosporaceae. The record is from RNAcentral.
UUUUGACCUCGGGAUCAGGUAGGGAUACCCGCUGAACUUAAGCAU